Molecule: ribosomal RNA, 497 nt
Filed under: uncultured bacterium
Lineage: Bacteria
Description: partial 16S ribosomal RNA
Rfam family: Bacterial small subunit ribosomal RNA
Source: RNAcentral
GAUGAACGCUGGCGGCGUGCCUAAUACAUGCAAGUCGAGCGAACAGAUAAGGAGCUUGCUCCUUUGACGUUAGCGGCGGACGGGUGAGUAACACGUGGAUAACCUACCUAUAAGACUGGGAUAACUUCGGGAAACCGGAGCUAAUACCGGAUAACAUAUUGAACCGCAUGGUUCAAUAGUGAAAGGCGGCUUUGCUGUCACUUAUAGAUGGAUCCGCGCCGUAUUAGCUAGUUGGUAAGGUAACGGCUUACCAAGGCAACGAUACGUAGCCGACCUGAGAGGGUGAUCGGCCACACUGGAACUGAGACACGGACCAGACUCCUACGGGAGGCAGCAGUAGGGAAUCUUCCGCAAUGGGCGAAAGCCUGACGGAGCAACGCCGCGUGAGUGAUGAAGGUCUUCGGAUCGUAAAACUCUGUUAUCAGGGAAGAACAAAUGUGUAAGUAACUGUGCACAUCUUGACGGUACCUGAUCAGAAAGCCACGGCUAACUACGUG